RNAcentral lists this ribosomal RNA (469 nucleotides) under uncultured Anaerolineaceae bacterium. RNAcentral describes it as "bacterial SSU rRNA". It matches the Rfam family "Bacterial small subunit ribosomal RNA", at positions 903 to 1382 of the family's 1533-position model. The record is from RNAcentral. Lineage: Bacteria; Bacillati; Chloroflexota; Anaerolineae; Anaerolineales; Anaerolineaceae.
CUACAAAUGAAUUGAGGGGACCCGCACAAGCAGCGGAGCGUGUGGUUUAAUUCGUUGCUACACGAAGAACCUUACCUGGGUUUGACAUAUAGGUUGUAGGGAACUGAAAAGGGACCGACCCUUCGGGGAGCCUAUACAGGUGUUGCAUGGCUGUCGUCAGCUCGUGUCGUGAGAUGUUCGGUUAAGUCCGCUAACGAGCGCAACCCUCGUCGUAUGUUAUAUGUGUCAUACGAGACUGCCGGUAAAAAGCCGGAGGAAGGUGAGGAUGAUGUCAAGUCAGCAUGACCUUUAUAUCCAGGGCUACACACACGCUACAAUGGUCUGUACAAUGGGUAGCCAAGCCGCGAGGCGGAGCCAAUCCUGAAAGCAGGCCUCAGUUCAGAUUGCAGUCUGCAACUCGACUGCAUGAAGCCGGAGUUGCUAGUAACCGCAGGUCAGCAAUACUGCGGUGAAUACGUUCCCGGGUCUU